RNAcentral lists this ribosomal RNA (301 nucleotides) under uncultured bacterium. Its description in RNAcentral is "partial 16S ribosomal RNA". It matches the Rfam family "Bacterial small subunit ribosomal RNA", at positions 509 to 807 of the family's 1533-position model. The record is from RNAcentral.
CAGUCGCCGCGGGAAUACCGAGGGUGCAAGCGUUAAUCGGAAUUACUGGGCGUAAAGCGCGCGUAGGUGGUUUGUUAAGUUGGAUGUGAAAGCCCCGGGCUCAACCUGGGAACUGCAUCCAAAACUGGCAAGCUAGAGUACGGUAGAGGGUGGUGGAAUUUCCUGUGUAGCGGUGAAAUGCGUAGAUAUAGGAAGGAACACCAGUGGCGAAGGCGACCACCUGGACUGAUACUGACACUGAGGUGCGAAAGCGUGGGGAGCAAACAGGAUUAGAUACCCGCGUAGUCCCUGUCUCUUAUAC